RNAcentral lists this ribosomal RNA (449 nucleotides) under uncultured bacterium. Its description in RNAcentral is "bacterial SSU rRNA". It matches the Rfam family "Bacterial small subunit ribosomal RNA", at positions 329 to 794 of the family's 1533-position model. The record is from RNAcentral.
UACCAGACUCCUACGGGAGGCAGCAGUCGGGAAUAUUGCACAAUGGAGGAAACUCUGAUGCAGUGACGCCGCGUGCAGGAAGAAGGUUUUCGGAUUGUAAACUGCUUUAGACAGGGAAGAAACAAGACAGUACCUGUAGAAUAAGCUCCGGCUAACUACGUGCCAGCAGCCGCGGUAAUACGUAGGGGGCAAGCGUUAUCCGGAUUUACUGGGUGUAAAGGGAGCGUAGACGGCAGCGCAAGUCUGGAGUGAAAUGCCGGGGCCCAACCCCGGAACUGCUCUGGAAACUGUGAAGCUGGAGUGCAGGAGAGGUAAGCGGAAUUCCUGGUGUAGCGGUGAAAUGCGUAGAUAUCAGGAGGAACACCGGCGGCGAAGGCGGCUUACUGGACUGUAACUGACGUUGAGGCUCGAAGGCGUGGGGAGCAAACAGGAUUAGAUACCCCGGUAAA